RNAcentral lists this unclassified non-coding RNA (351 nucleotides) under soil metagenome. Its description in RNAcentral is "partial contains 5.8S ribosomal RNA, internal transcribed spacer 2, and large subunit ribosomal RNA". The stretch from base 1 to 120 matches the Rfam family "5.8S ribosomal RNA", at positions 35 to 154 of the family's 154-position model. The record is from RNAcentral.
GAUGAAGAACGUAGCGAAAUGCGAAAAGUAAUGUGAAUUGCAGAAUUCAGUGAAUCAUCGAAUCUUUGAACGCACAUUGAGCCCGCCAGUAUUCUGGCGGGCAUGCCUGUCUGAGCGUCAUUUCAACCCUCACGCCCCUAGGGCGUGGUGUUGGGGAUCGGCCAAGGCCCGCAAGGGACGGCCGGCCCCUAAAUCUAGUGGCGGACCCAUCGUGGCCUCCCCUGCGAAGUAGUAAUAUAUUCCGCAUCGGAUAGCGAUGAGCCCCUGCCGUUAAACCCCCAACUCUUUCAAGGUUGACCUCAGAUCAGGUAGGAAUACCCGCUGAACUUAAGCAUAUCAAUAAGCGGAGGA